Molecule: ribosomal RNA, 423 nt
Filed under: uncultured bacterium
Lineage: Bacteria
Description: bacterial SSU rRNA
Rfam family: Bacterial small subunit ribosomal RNA
Source: RNAcentral
AAGACCUCACGUUAUUGGAGUGGCCUAGGCCUGAUUAGCUAGUUGGUGGGGUAAAGGCCUACCAAGGCGACGAUCAGUAGCUGGUCUGAGAGGAUGAUCAGCCACACUGGAACUGAGACACGGUCCAGACUCCUACGGGAGGCAGCAGUGGGGAAUUUUGGACAAUGGGGGCAACCCUGAUCCAGCCAUUCCGCGUGAGUGAAGAAGGCCUUCGGGUUGUAAAGCUCUUUCGGCAGGGAAGAAACGGUUACGGUUAAUACCUGUGACUAAUGACGGUACCUGAAGAAGAAGCACCGGCUAACUACGUGCCAGCAGCCGCGGUAAUACGUAGGGUGCGAGCGUUAAUCGGAAUUACUGGGCGUAAAGCGUGCGCAGGCGGUUUUGUAAGUCAGAUGUGAAAGCCCCGGGCUUAACCUGGGAAUG